UACGUAGGGUGCGAGCGUUAAUCGGAAUUACUGGGCGUAAAGCGUGCGCAGGCGGUUUUGUAAGCCAGAUGUGAAAUCCCCGGGCUUAACCUGGGAAUGGCAUUUGGGACUGCAAGGCUUGAGUGCGGCAGAGGAGACUGGAAUUCCUGGUGUAGCAGUGAAAUGCGUAGAUAUCAAGCGGAACACCGGUGGCGAAGGCGGCCUUCUGGACAGUGACUGACGCUGAGACGCGAAAGCGUGGGGAGCGAACGGG
RNAcentral lists this ribosomal RNA (253 nucleotides) under uncultured bacterium. RNAcentral's name for it is "partial 16S ribosomal RNA". It matches the Rfam family "Bacterial small subunit ribosomal RNA", at positions 524 to 776 of the family's 1533-position model. The record is from RNAcentral.